This 77-nucleotide transfer RNA is filed under the name Psychrobacter coccoides. RNAcentral's name for it is "Psychrobacter sp. F1192 tRNA-Arg". It matches the Rfam family "tRNA". From Rfam's summary of the family: Transfer RNA (tRNA) molecules are approximately 80 nucleotides in length. Their secondary structure includes four short double-helical elements and three loops (D, anti-codon, and T loops). Further hydrogen bonds mediate the characteristic L-shaped molecular structure. tRNAs have two regions of fundamental functional importance: the anti-codon, which is responsible for specific mRNA codon recognition, and the 3' end, to which the tRNAs corresponding amino acid is attached (by aminoacyl-tRNA synthetases). tRNAs cope with the degeneracy of the genetic code in two manners: having more than one tRNA (with a specific anti-codon) for a particular amino acid; and 'wobble' base-pairing, i.e. permitting non-standard base-pairing at the 3rd anti-codon position. The record is from RNAcentral. Lineage: Bacteria; Pseudomonadati; Pseudomonadota; Gammaproteobacteria; Moraxellales; Moraxellaceae. RNAcentral also lists the same sequence under 5 other names.
GCGCCCGUAGCUCAGUUGGAUAGAGCACUUGGCUACGAACUAAGGGGUCGGGAGUUCGAAUCUCUCCGGGCGCACCA